UGAAAUUUAUUAAUGGGUCAAAGUCCUAAAUGGACAAAGCCCAACAAACUAUAAAACAUAAAAGUCUAAGAAAAAAAACCAACACUUUACAACCGUAAGUCCAAAGAGGAAAACCGUAGAAGAAAUGCAAGAUGGCAACACCACCACGUGUUCGAUCUCCCGGCGAUCAAUGAAAACGCGUCAGGCCGAGGGGCAGCUUGCUUCCUCAGGAGAAAACGAGGUGAUACGAGAGAAUCUGCCGUCAACAGCGGCCGAUGAUGAAGUAUCGCUCACACAGAGCCAUCUUUUCAACGAACCUAGUCGCAUACCGAAUCAACACUUCAAAACUGGAAUCAAUGAUCUUCAAUCCAACCUACAGCUUCUGAUUUUCCUUCAUUAAUCAGACAUCUUUAAAGAUGAAAAUAAAUCUGAAGAUGAAUCAACCCUAAUCAAGAGAAAAGGGAUCGAUCAGAGGCGAGAGAGGAGAGACGGUUGAGCGAUGAAGCUGUGAAAAACACUGAUUAAAGAAAUUGGGAGAACUCUGACGAAGAAAAGUCAGAAGAGUGACGCAGAGACGAAAGGAGAACGCUGGAAACAGAGUCGGCAAACCACCAAGAAAAGAUGCGUCUCCGGAAACAGAGACCCGGUCGGAGAAUCUAAAACCGGUUGAAAGAUACCAAAAACAAACCGGCGAAAAAGAAAAGCUUCAUUUCAUCUAUAUCUCCAUGAAAGAUGUCAGUGAGGGAACAGAGAAGAGAGAGAAGUUUUUCAGUUAGCAAUCUUCAUAUAACUAAACCUAUUGUGUUCUGAUAAUAAGUUAUUAACAAUACCAUACGAAGAUUACUCAGCAUAAACUUGAAAGAGAAAAAUCUUAGUCGUCUC
RNAcentral lists this long non-coding RNA (861 nucleotides) under Brassica napus (rape). RNAcentral's name for it is "long non-coding RNA (BNAP_LNC023639)". Lineage: Eukaryota; Viridiplantae; Streptophyta; Magnoliopsida; Brassicales; Brassicaceae. The record is from RNAcentral.